Long non-coding RNA from Gossypium arboreum, 466 nucleotides. RefSeq lists it as uncharacterized. Lineage: Eukaryota; Viridiplantae; Streptophyta; Magnoliopsida; Malvales; Malvaceae. The record is from RefSeq and is a predicted model, not a curated record. The transcript has 2 exons.
AUGUAAGGAUAUAAAUGGAUACAAAUGUUAAAUAAAUAUUGGUUAUUUAGUAGAUUUUUAUUGUUAUUAUAUUAUAUAUAUAAAACAAAUGAAAAAAAGAAAAAAGGAGAAGAUAGAAAAGAAACAGAAUGAAACGAAACAGAGAGCAGGGGAGAAAAAGAAAGAAAGAAAAGAAAGAAAGGGGGAAAAGAGAAAAUUUAAGGUUUGAAGCUUUAAGCUUUAAUAGGUACGGGUAUGGGGUAUUACACACCCCUUUAUUAUUUUAUCUGUCAGGUAAUCCCCAGCAGUAGAUGGAUUGGUGCAGCGGAGGGCUCGACGGUGACCACAGCUACCUAUACUCUAGUUUUUACAGUUUUAAUGCUUUUAUUACUUUAACUGCUAUAAUUGAGAGUAUUUAUGUAAUUUUUGGACUCAGAUGGUUUGGUUUAAAUUUGGGAUUUUGGAACUACUGCUUAUUAUUUUGAAA